GAGGACAGAGAGGGAGGAGAACACGACAGAAGAAGAAAACGGUUGCAGAAGAAAAAUUGCAGGAGCACAAAUACAAGAGGAGACAUUUUCACAGGUAUAUGUAUCCUGUCAAUUAAUUCUUGUUGGGCGGCACCCCUCAAAUAAAACUCUUGGAUGAUAAAUCCAUAAUGGGUGGCAACCCUUAAAUCAUGAACAACAAAUCCAUGAGAGGAUUCCUGUUUAACAAAGCUCUGCCGAGCAAAAGGAAAUCCUUUGAAAUGGAUACAAAAUAUUGGAUACAAAAUCCAUCAUGGGUGUGUAACCCUCAAUCAAAUACCCUGAAUGGUAUAUCCAUUUUUGGGCAUAAAACUCAUUCAGUGAGUUCUCAAGAGCACAAAUCCAAUUUCGGUACAAAACCCACAAACAUAAUCAUGGAGG
RNAcentral lists this long non-coding RNA (417 nucleotides) under Prunus dulcis (almond). RNAcentral's name for it is "sRNA ncRNA". Lineage: Eukaryota; Viridiplantae; Streptophyta; Magnoliopsida; Rosales; Rosaceae. The record is from RNAcentral.